CGAGCCCCACAUCAGGCUCCCUGCUCAGCAGGAAGCCUGCUUCUCCCUCUCCCACUCCCUUCCCUGCUUGUGUUCCCUCUCUCGCUAUGUCUCUCUGUCAGAUAAAUAAAUAAAAAUUAUAUAAAAUGUGACCUUGAUAAAAUUUUGGAUUGGGAGUUUACUAUUAGGAUCAAACUUCAGGGGCACCUGGGUGGCUCAGUUGUUAAGCGUCUGCCUUCGGCUCAGGUCAUGAUCCCAGGUCCUGGGAUUGAGCCCCACAUCGGGCUCCCUGCUCAGCAGGAAGCCUGCUUCUCCCUCUCCCACUCCCCCUUCUUGUGUUCCCUCUCUCACUGUGUCUCUCUCUGUCAAAUAAAUAAAAUCUUUAAAAAAAAAAAUAUAUAUAGGAUCAGACUUCACCCAUUGUAUUCUGAGCAUUGUUGGAAGCAUUGUAGUGUGAAAAGGAACAUAUGGUGCAAUCAACAGGGCUAUAGGAAUAGAGAUAGUAGUUUAUCCCACUGGGACCUGUACUUGGCUAGAAAUAAAGUGUCACUAGAACAGAAGAAUGUUCUUAAAUUUGUAUCCCUAGCAUUCAGUUGCGUACGUAGCAGGCGCUCCAUAAAUGUUUGUCGUAUUGUACAUAAUUGAUCGGAAAGAUUUCUAGCACAGAUAGUCAGAUGGGAUUAGAUAGAAUGGGUAAGAACUUGGGAAGGAUAAUGGUUUGGCAGGAAGACAAGAAUAUAUGUUCCAAAUGUGCUUAUAGUUUUAUAUAAAAUCACUGAAAAUCUGUAAAGAGAAGCCAAAUUGUUACUUUACUUCUGAAGUAUUAUGUGGAUUGUGUGUAUACAUACAUGUACAGGUAGAGGAAGAGGCAGUGGGGAUACAGUUCUGUUCCCUAAAGCAUGUUGGAGGCAGUGCUCGAUAAGUACUUUCAUAAGUGCAUUUCCUAUGUUCUACCAAAGGUAGUGAUUUGCUUUGACUGUAUCCUGAGCUUAGGAGGCAUGGAUGGUCUCAAUACAUUUUAGAAGUUCUCUUUUUUUUUUUUUUUUAAUUUUAUUUAUUUAUUUGAGAGAGAGAGAAUGAGAGACAGAGAGCACGAGAGGGAAGAGGGCAGAGGGAGAAGCAGACCCCCUGCCGAGCAGGGAGCCCGACGCGGGACUCGAUCCCGGGACUCCAGGAUCAUGACCUGAGCCGAAGGCAGUCGCCCAACCAACUGAGCCACCCAGGCGCCCGUAGAAGUUCUCUUUGAAUACAGUUGAGAAGGGCAAGGGGUAUGUUGACAGUGGUGGAAAGUACAUACUACUCGUUAACCGGAAUGAGAAUUCUGGAAAAAAAAAAAUGCAGAAAAAUGCAAACAUCUUGGCUGUUGAGGCACUUAGCAAAAGGAUGACCAGCCUGUUGUUUUGGUGUUGAGUGAGUAUAUCACUGUUCGUGUAUCACCUUAUUAGAACUCAGAAUGAUGUUGGUGAUGAUGCCACCACCUGGCUUUUGCAAAACUCUUAUUAAUUUUUCUACACGUUAUUUCGUUUGAGCCUUUUAAUGCUGCUGGGUGAUAGGACUGGUAUCAUGUUCGUUAUAUACACGAGGAAACAGAGGCUGAUUGAUCACGACUUCCCCGUACAAAAUGUGCCAGAUGUGGUGAGUGGUACAAGAACUGCGUCCCACACCUCUUGUCUCUAAGAGAAGCACUGGGAGCCCCAGGAAAAUUGAAGCUACAUUUGUUAACCAGUUUAAAGCCCUGGGGAUACUUCAUACUUCUUAAAAAUGUUUUUUUUUUUUUUUCCCCAACUAAUUAAAAUUGGAAUCUGAAGGGACACAGCUUCAGCCCUGCAUUAUAAUUACCUAAGUUUUCCAGCUGGGGUUUUUACUGGGUCACUGUUAAGAAAUACUCCUCCUACUCCUCCUAAUACCAGCGACAGGGUUUGCUGAGUGUAUUUCAUGUGCCAGGUUAUGUUCUAAAUGCUUUUCGUGUUUCAUUUUUCUAAUACCUUCACAAGAAACCCAUGAGCAGUGCUCUUAAUAUCCCUGCUUUACACAUGAAGAAACAAGGUGUAAAGGGAUAGAAGAAUAAAUUCUCCAGGGGCACAGAGCUUUGAUACAGACACAUCUUGGUCUUAAAUUUGGGAUAUUUGGCUACAGAAUACAUGUCCUUACACAACAUACUAUACUACCUAAAAGUUAUAUGCAGUCUCCUUUUUUCUUUCAAAGGGGUGGUUCAAAAGAGCAGUGUGCUCUGGGAGCUGCCAUGGGAGUGGGGCGCUAAAGGGUGUAUCUUUGCCAGAAUAUGGCCGUGUGUCUGUCCUUGUGCCGAAGCACUGAUUGUAAAUGUUUAGGGCAAAGAGUGCUGGACUUGAAGUUAUAUCUGGGUUCAAAAUUUGGCUUCAUCAUUUUCUGGUUAUGAGACACUGGAUAGGUCACUACAUCUCCUGGAGGCUGAUAAUACUCCAGAUAUCUUAGAAAAUUAAGUUAAAAUCUGUGACCAGCUCAGGUGCUGAAUAGUAUUGAUUCUGAAACUGAAUAUUAGAUAUUUCUGUAAAAGGCUCACUUAGUGGUUUCCAGUUCAAAUUAAACAUUUAAUUUAUUUGGGGGCAAACCUGAUAGGAUGCCUGCCCUCAGGCUCACAGGCCAGACCGGAGGAACAGAGACUAGGUCACUGUAGUGAAAUGGGUGUUGUAAGGGCUUGCAUAACUGAUGGCGGAGGAAGUGAGCAAGUCCGGUUGGGUCAUCAGAAAAGAUUCUCAAAGUACAUAACCUUUGAACUUGGACUUGAAGGCUAAGCAGGAUUCUUUGUAAGCAGGGAGAGAAAGAAGGAUGAAGAAGGGAAUUUACGGAGGAGAGUCAACAUGUGCAAAGGUGCUGUGGCAUGAAAGGGCAAAAAGGUGUUUGUGAAUCCUCAGAAGUCCCUGGAUCCAGAGUCUCGGGUAGUCACCCAGGUGGGGGAGGGGCGGUGGUGUGAACAGUCUUGUGUGUCAGGAUCAGGAGUCAGGACUGUAUUCUGUAGGCAAUUAGUUGGUGGUUAGGUGUGCGGGAGUUCAGUUUUAGAAUAUUAUUUUGGCAGUUGAAUAGAAGGUACUAGCAAACCAGGUGAAGGGUGUCACUGUAUUCCUAGCCAGUGUUAACCUUAAGAAAUAAGACUACCAGUUAUUUUACCAGCAAAAGAUGGGUUUAUUUGGGAAUAACAGAGAAUUGCAAUCCAGGACAGGCAAACUAUGGCAAAACCCCAGGCAAGUCCACCAAACAAAGAAGAAGAAUACUCUUGUAGAAGAAAGUGGGAAGCUGGGAAGACUGUCAUAAACAAAAAGUCUAUUGGAGUAAACUGGAAGUUCCUUUUUUUUAAGAUUUUAUUUAUUUAUUUUAGAGAGAGAGAGAGAGAGAGAGAGAGCAUGCGCGGGAGCAGGGGGAGAAGCAGAGGGAGAGGGAGGGGAAAGAAUCUCAAACAGCCUCUGCCCUGAGCACAGAGUCCUGUACCAGGCUCCAUCCUACCACCCUGAGAUCAUGACCUGAGCUGAAGCCAAGAGUCCGAUGCUCAACAGACUGAGCCACCUAUGUGCCCCUAAACUGGGAGUUCUAAGUUAUAGUGGCUUUUCAUUGGUUGAGCUGGGCCUGUCUCUCAUUGGCUGGGCUGUUGGGGCAGGAGGAAGCCUUCCUUCUUCCUGCUGGAAUAGUAAAGUAGUAUCUGUGUGCAAGGUCCUGUCUCUUCCUGUUGGGUCUGCAAUUAACUACGAGAGUGGUAGCGCAAGAGAGUUCCCCCUGCCCCCAACCCUCCCAACUCCCAUUUUAGUGAGGUUUCCCUUUAUUAAUUUUCACACCAGAGGUGGGGUGCUGGGUUCCUGAGAGACCACUGGGUUACAGUGUGUCAGAUGUCAGGGGUGGGGGGGAUCUGAGGGUAGAGAACAGUAGAGAAGGACUUUCAGAUUGCAUGGAAAAGGAACUGGGAUAGAAAAUCUAGAAAGAAGACCAGAUGAGGGAGGGAGAUAAUGAAUUUAGUUUGGGGUAUGUCACAUUUGAGGUCUUUCCAGUUGUCCAGAGCUGUAUAACAAAUCAUGUUAAAACCUAGUGGUUUAGGGGUGCCUGUGUGGCUCAGUCAGCUGAACGUUUGCUUUCGGCUCAGGUCAUGAGCCCGGGGUCCUGGGAUCGAGCCCCCUCAUUGGGCUCCCUGCUCCGCGGGGAAGCCUGCUUCUCCCUCUCCUACUCCCCCUGCUUGUGUUCCCUCUCUCACUAUGUCUCUCUCUGUCAAAUAAAUAAAUAAAAUCUUUAAAAAACAAACAAACAAACAAAAACCUUAAAAAAAAACUCAACCUAGUGGUUUAAAAUAACAGCCUUUAUUAUGGUCAUAGAUCUGUCAUUUGGGCAGGGCUUGGUGGGGACAGCUUGUCUCUGCUCAGCCUCAGCCAGGGCGGCUUGAAGUAUGAGGCGGGGAUCAUCUGAAGGCUUACUCACUCCCUUGAGGGGCAGUUGUACUGGGAAGACCCAAGCAGUAGGGGCUUCUCGACAUCCGUCUCUAUCUGCAUGGUCUCCAGAAAAAAAAAAAACCCUGUUUGAUCGUUAUUUGCUUGCCUACGUUGAGUAUUGCUUUUCGCCAGAGGCUGUGCCGUAGACCCUGCCUUCUUACGUGUUGCCUACGGGCUCCCAAGGUGUGACUCCUAAGAGAGAGGCAGGCAGAAGCUGUGUGGCUUUUUAUGACUUAGCCUCGGGCAUCACCUCCUCCACAUUCUGUUAGAAAUGUGCCUCGAAGGCCAGCACAUAUUCAAGGAGAGGGAGGUGAGACUCCACUUUUGGUGGGAAGAGUGUCCGUGACUGUGUGCACGUGUUUUAAAACCACUACCCAGUUCUCCUGGGACGUUUAUGUGGGUAGGUUUGGGAGUGAAAUACGGAUCUCUAAGAGAAGGAGUGGGGCAGGAUAUCGAGGUUUGGGAGACAUGUGAUAUUGGAAGCUAUUAAGUUGCUGAGAUGGUCCAGGAAAAAAAUGUGGAGUAAAAGGAGAGCAGAACUUGGAUGUUGAACAUUUCAGGGCUGGGAGAGGAAGGUGAGUUAAGCCACAGGGAGUUCAACUUUCAAGGUCUGUGGAGAGGCCAAGGGGAUUGGGCGGAAAGAGUAGAUAUUGGCCUGUGCUUGACUACCCAUGGUCGGUAAUGCUGAGAGAUUCAGGCUCCGUGGGUUGGGGUGGGGUGGGCUUUGCUUGCCUGUAUUGAGUGUUGGUUUUUGUUUUUGAGCACAGAGGGGGUGGUAGCUUGACCUUUGUGCGCAUUUGUAAAAUGAGGGAAGAAACCAGAGGCGGGGGAGAGUAACUGGCUUAGCUGUUACUCUGUAUAUCACUGGUUUUAGUUAAGAUGCUUUUAAUGCAAAGUGUAUUUUAAUAGUCAUAUCCUAGAGUUUGACCUUCAAGGAGCUCAAGUCUGUGAGCAAUAAUUCACUUUAAUGGUAACAGCCUUGCAGAGAAGAAGUACUUACUAAAUAUUUGCAAAAUGAAAGUGUAGUAUUACACAUUCUCUGGGUGGUUUGAGAGCCAGAGAAGCAAUUUUGCCUGGAGGUUACAUUUGAGCCAAAUCCUGAUGAUGAUGAUGAUGAUGAUUUUUUUUAAACUGGUGAUUUCUCAGGGCAAACCUGAAGUUGUGAGUGCUCACAAACCUGAAGUUUGUGUCUCAGCUAUGGGAUUCAUGUGUGCAGCAUGUCUGGAUUUGUCAAAUAUUCUCACCCAGGUUCUCUUAAGAAACGAUUUUCAGUCCAGAGUGGCAGGUCCCAAACUGGAGUCCAUCAGUUAUUUCUCUCGGAUCGUUGUUGGAAGGGAAACCAUACCUUUCAAUCGGUUCUUCCGGUGAUUUUUAAAUGGAUUGCUCAUUGCUUCAGGGAUUAAAUGAAAAUUUGGACUAAUAGUAAAGAUAACAUAACAGGUUUCUCUUGGUUUAGGGGCUUUUAUUUUUCCCAGAAUUAUAAUCCGUUCUCAAAUUUCCUCUUUUUAACCUCCAGAAGGGACUCCAGCCCUGGGACUCUUGCUGUUUUGCUGGUUUGCCUCUGGCUGGGGCUUUGGUCACUGCAGUUGGUCUGAUGACGUUUUCCUAGUCUGAUUAUUCUAUUUAUAAUGGCAACUGUAGCUGUUAAGUUUGAAAAGCAGUGAACUCUGCUGAAACAACCAACUUUUCAAAGUGCACUGGAUAACUUUGAUAAUUCCCUAAAAUCCAAAGUGAAGCGUAAACCUCAAAUCACACAUCUGUCUUUCAGCUCCUCUCAGUUUUCUCUUGGCAUGCUGCAUUUUUCUGUGGGUCUGUCAUCCAGCUUUGCUCUUCCCCCGCCCUUUAGCUUUUCUCUCCUUUCCUGUCUUUCUUCUCCACCGAAUUUCCAUUUUCGUCUUCUCUUUUUAUCUUUCCCUAUUUAGGGCCAUAAAAUGGAACUCAAGAAUUUUUUUGUUCUUGUUCUUUUUAUUUUGCUUUUACUUAAGGGAUUUAUUCAAGAUAUUUUAUGUUUCCUAUUAGUGUUAGCUUUUUUCCUGUGGAAAUAAAAAACCCCCGAGAAACAGAUUUCCUAGUUUGUUCAUUUAUUAUUAAUUAAUUUCAUUGCUUUUGUGACGUUAACUUAUAGGUCUUUCUCUCUUUUUGGCAUGUGUAAUGAUUCAAAGCUUAGAAAAAAUUUCAAAUCAUUAAUUGGGCAUUUUCAAAACUCACACUUUUUAACUCUUUGGGUCUCUGUAUGGAUGCUCGGCAAAGCAGAAACACUUAGAGGCUGCAUAAUUUUUAAAAUUUACUGGAAGAUGAAGAGGAACUUUUGAUUUUUCUUUAUCAAUUAAAGGAAUUGAGGGAAGUGGUUGUUCAUUUGCGGUUCUAAUCCUGUGCCAUUCCAGGGUAUGGGCAUUUGUCACAUUGUCACUUCCACCUUGGACUGGCCACCAAACAUGAGACAUGUUGGCUACCAGCAAGUGCUCCAGCUCCCUGAGCUGAGGAAGAGGCUGUGGGGUGGGUGGCCCCUCCCAUCUGGGCUCCCGGGGGCUUUCACCCACGUUUGCCCACGUGGCACUGUAACAGGAGCCCCCAGGCACUCUGAGAACUCUCCUGCUUCUCUUGACCCCGGGUCCUGUUCACCCAGUCACUCUUUUGCUUUUGGCAAUAAAAGGCAGUUUGGGGAAAUUUUUUAAGUAGGCUCCAUACCCAGCGUGGAGCCCAGUGUGGGACUUGAACUCAUGACCCUGAGAUCAAGACCUGAGCUGAGAUCAGGAGCCGGGAUACUCAAUCGACUAAGCCCCCCAGGUGCCCCAUUGGGGAGUUUUUAAUGUGUGUUCAUUUUCCCAUUAAUACCACUACCUCACAUCUGUAUUUUCUAUGCUGAACAAAAGAAAAAUGUUACUGGGCCCUUCACGGUGCGCCCCGCCACAGAGAAUGUGGUAGUUCUGCCCUUUUCUUUAGAGGUCAGAAAGGUGAUUGGAAGCAUGCAGAAGGUGAGAUGCGGAUGGUUUGGGCCUUUUAGCUUUGGAAGAAUUUGAAAUUCUUAGUUCUUUUCAACCUGUAUCGAGUGGGAAGGAGGAAUUUUAUUUGGCAGUGAUGCUCACAAUCUAUUCAGUGCACCCCUGGUCCUGGCCCCAGCCAAGCAAGUCAGGGCAGCAAAUGCCUUAUUUGAGCCUCCCUUUAGCUCUGCUCAGAUGUACUCUUCCUUUCCCAUCUUAACCAGUGAGGGAGUGUGAAGUGUGGGGGGCUUAAAGAACUACCCAAUAUCCUAUAGUUUACAGUAUUUUACCACCUCUCAAUCAUGUAGAAAGACCUUAUUUUAUUUUACUUUAAUUAAUUUAUUUACUUAGAGAGAGUGUGCACUCCCGGGAGGGGAGAAGGGGAGAGAGCAUCUCAAGCAGACUCCUCGCUGAGUGGGGAGCCCGAUCCAGGCCUCCAUCCCAGGACCCUGAGACCAUGACCUGAGCCGAAACCAAGAGUCGGACGCCUAACCCACUGAGCCACCCAGGUGCCCGGAGAGACCUUAUCUUAAAUGGAUUUGUUACAGACAUACCUUUGCUAAAAUGCAGAUUUAUUUAAUAAUACCAGGAUUUCAACGUAUGGAAUUUUGCCUGCGAAUCUUUGUGCUCACCACGGGUGAGUGAAAUGUUUGGAUGCCAGUCCAGCAGAGCUUUUGGGUCUGUAGUUACAGUCUUGGCGAUUGCUGUUCUGGGGAGAAGGCCACGCUGGGAUGUGGAAGUGCUGGAAACGAAGCACUCCCCUCACCCCUGUCUGGCCUGCCUGGGGAAGCUGGAACACCUUUUGAGGAAUUAGUUUUUCCCUUCCAGCAGAAGCCAGUGGGCAGCCCCCCUGGGGCUUAUUGGGAAGCAGCUACGGCUGUCAUUCACUUCCUUCUGUGACCUGGCAUCUUGAGGUUCAAGCAGCUGUACUUAGUGUGUUUGGUCUUUUCUUGUGCUUUGUAGUAAUUCUUCACCAUUUUUUCCCCCAUAAAUUAAACAUCAUCUUAGUAGGUGAAAAUGUGUAAAAGCAAAGCAGUAAAACAUUUCUUUUAAGUAAAAAGGCCUAGAGAUCCCUGUCAUCUUCAGCACCCUUCUCCCACAUUGAUUUGUCUGUGUCCCAGCAUCAUCCUUUCUUUGAAAAUACCUGUUAAUUAAGGGACACAUAUACUACGGGAAACAUAAGCACAUUUUAAUGAAAGUAAAAACCUAAGUACAGACCUCAUUUCCUGUAUUCACUAACAUUUGUCCGCUUGCCCUCCCCCCUCUCCCCUGCACACACCCUGUCCAGUCACUAUUCAGGUUCUUAAUCACAAGCAUGGACUCGAAACACAGGCUGCUUUCUUUGGCAGGCCUUCAGGAUAUCAAGUUUCCUCUGUUCAAAGGGAACCCGAGACCUGCUUGUGCCUGACUUCUUUCACAGAAGAGAUCUUCUUUAAAGCUGGAUUUGCCAGUCACAGUUUUGGAUAUUAAAUGCAGUUGGUGUUGGGGGGGUGUGGGUGUUGAGGAAGGGAGCAUUUCGGACCUUGACCGGGAGCUGCAGCUGCCUUCGGUGGCUUCAUGGCAGCCCAGGGGCGGUUGGCUUCCGCCCGCGUGAUUCUGUCAGUCACUGUUGCAGGCUGGCCUGGUCCUCCCGCCCUCCUCCCCCCCCAAGGUCAAGGCUGGCCCCUCAUCUCCGGAUGGAGCUGGAGCGGGGAGUGGGGAAGGAAAAACAUGUUCAGGAUUGACCUGCUUCUGAGGUGUGCAGCAGUGGGGGAGGUAGAGGCAGGUUCCUGAGUAUUCAGGAAUGUCUGUUCUAGAAGGUGCCCCAGGAAGGGAGAGGCCUCCCAGGGUUGCAGCAUUCUGUUAAAGUAACAGAGAGGUGCAGGGCUCUUGUUUAUAUUGCAGGCUGCUUAUCGGUCAGUGCUCAGGCCUUGAAGGCCAUUCUACCCCGUCUGGCUUUUAACUGGCUUCCUAACUCAUUUAGGAAUAGAUCUGUUACAGUGGGGGCAUGUUACAAAAUGAUCUCUUCAUAUAACUUACACCUUACACUGUGGUCUUUUUCUCAAGUUUUAAAUCUGUUCUCUUUAGAGGUAAAUCAUGUUUUUCUUUAUUACUUUUGAUGUAGUGCUAAAUCUUUUCUUUUUAAAAAACUGGAUAUUUCUGUUAUAUGAGGCUAUAACUUUUUGUUUCAUCUUCUCUAGGUAAAGGACACAAGCUUCUAAAUGGAUGUAGCUAAAAAUUUGGUCUUGUUAAAGGAAGAAAAAUUGGCUGAAUGGUGGGAGAUGAGAAGGAAAACUGUGCUUGCUUUCAGGCUAAAAAGGGAUGAUUUUUCUCUGUACCAUGGAGAAGCAUGGCCCAGAUAAUUGAAUGGCACACAGCUGUUUCUUUGUAGGCCUGCAGUCACUUUGAGCAUGGGGUUCUGCUUGUGUCAAAGAACAAGUGGGUUGUGAUGAUCUCGCAAUAUCCAAGAGAAUAAAGCUUGAAACUGAAGAAGCUGAUGUUCCCAAAACCCAGGAGUGAGAAUGUACUCUUAUUUUGCUUUUUCUCUUCAGUGAAACUGAAGAGUACUUGCUAUAGAGAGUGAAACUUCUUCUUGAUCUCUUAUCGCAAAGUUAAGGUGGCUGUCCAGCGUACAGGAGUUGACUGUUGCGCACGCUCUGAGAUCAGCUGAACUCACUGAGACACUAGUGAGAGUUCUGAACAGGGCUCCCCCAGAAUAGAGUGAACCUCGUCCUCCUCCUCCAGGAGAACUUCAGCAGAGCCUAAGACAGUUGUACCUUUGGAACCUCAUGUGAUGUGUGGAAACAAAUUAAAAAGUAACCCACAGAGUAAGUCAUUACGGUGUUAAUUCUUUCCAAACAACCAAGAUCUAAGGGGCUUAUUAGGUUUUAAAUAGAUAAUAGUGCUUUAUUAGAUUUUUUUUUUCUGUUACGACUUACUGGAUGAGAUGCUGAAGGGAUUUAGAUGACCUAAAAAAAUUGAAAACCCUUCGGUUUGAUUAAAACGGGCACUGAACACCAUGUGGAAGGCAGUUCCACAGCCUCAAGGAACCAGUUGUGGGUUUAUUUCAGUGAACCUGAUAGAAAAGGUAUUUUGAAGAAAGGGCAAUAGGCUCUAAACCAUGUGUGCAUCCUGUAAACUUCCCCCCAAGACCACUAUCUUGAAACCUAAUAAAUAUUUAAUAUAAGGGGAGGCAUCUGAGGCUUUUGCUAGUGCUAAGGGGCUUGCUGCAGUUGCUAUGGAAAAGCUCGUGCUGGUCUCAGCUGUGUGACAAGGACACUGUAGACCUUUCAGGAAGGGGAGCAGGAGUGGAGGGUCAGUGAACCUCAGUGAGCUUGAAGAGCCCUGUUGGUUCUGAUGAGUAUUGAUCAGUUUCUUUAUGGUUUCCCAUAUUGUAAAAUGUCUGCUGUUUUUUACUGUUCAGUAUUUUUUAAAGUCCUUAUUUUACUUGGAAUUUGGCUUCCAUGUUGCAGAAUCCUAACCUUGUAUGUUGGUAAAAUUAGGAUGUAAUUUAGUUACUAAUUAUUUGUAUUGUUAUCAUGAUAUUCUUCAUAAUAGAGAAAAGGACAAAAUACUACACAAAACGUUUGCCUGACAAGGAUUAUUUUCAUUUGAAGAAACAUAAAUGACCUGGUUGGUUCUGACCGUUCCUUGAACUUGUUUCUUUAAAGCUAAUUACAGAAUUUGUUAUAUAUAACUUAAAUAUUGGAGUCUUUUCCAUGGAAUUCACCUUACAGAGUAGUCUGCAAAUAAACUGUGACUUUUAUGAUUGUUUAAAAAUUUAAUAUGUAUGUUUCAUGAAUGAGAGCAUAAAUAACAUUUUUUUGAAAAGUGUUUUGUUUUUUUGUCUGCUCUGGUGCUUAAUACGGUGGAAUGUAUUAGAAUCUUAAUAAACAUUUAACACGUGUACUUCAUGUUGAAAGUGGAACUAUCCAAUCUUCAGUAGGUUUAUUAAUCUUUAUAUACUCUUAGUCCCUAGCGUAGGUUUUUGUGAUACCUGUAAAUUCUAGAAAUGAUAAUUUUUGGUUGAUUGAUCAGUUGGUUGUUUUUAAUGUGGCAGACAUUGCUAACUAUGAAGCUGAAAAAAAAGAAUUAGCCUGGGGGCACCUGGGUGGCUCAGUCGUUAAGCGCCUGCCUUCGGCUCAGGUCAUGAUCCCAGGGUCCUGGGAUCGAGCCCCACAUCAGGCUCCCUGCUCGGCGGGAGGCCUGCUUCUCCCUCUCCCACUCCCCCUGCUUGUGUUCCCUCUCUCACUGUGUCUCUCUCUGUCAAAUAAAUAAAUAAAAUCUUUAAAAAAAAAAAAAGAAUUAGUCUGGACUGUGCUUAUGGGUGGCCUGUUGCUAAGUUUUAAUGAGUUCAAAGGGGGGGAUGUGUGUUCCAGAAAUAACCAAACCUUUUUUUUUUUUUUUUUAAGACUUUAUUCAUUUAUUUGAGAGAACAAGCCAGGGGGAAGAGGCAGAGGGAGAAGCAGACUCCCCGCCGAGCAGGGAGCCUGAUGUGGGGCUCAGUCCUAGGACCCUGAGAUCAUGACCUGAGCUGAGGGCAGACACUUAACCAACUGAGCCACCCAGGAGUCCCCAAAGUAACCAAACUCUUAAAUUGGAGCUGUAUAUGGUAUAUAAGUGAAUUUGAAGGUUGUCUUUCCAACCCUAGAGCCUCUUUUUUUUUUUUUUUAAGAUUUAUUUAUUUAUUUUAGAGAGAGAGUGUGAGCAGGGGAAGGGGCAGAUGGAGCUGGUGGGGGGAUGGGUAGAAUCCUCAGGCAGAUUCCCCUCUUGAGUGUGGAGCCUGAUGUGGGCCUGGAUCCCAGGAUCCCGAGAUCAUGACCUGCUGAAAGCUAGAGUUGGCUGCUUAACUGACUGAGCCACCCAGGUGCCCCACCUAGAGCCUCUUUUGGGAAUUAUAGCAACAAAGGCAAAUAGAGAUGACUUGACUUUGGGUCCUCGUGUUAGGGUUUAGACCCUCCUAUUUGGGGCACAGCUCCUGAAGGCUGGCUCCGGUGAGGGGAAGAGAAGGGAAUGAGAUACCAAGCAGCCUUCUAGAUGUUUCACAUGAACUUGUACAUUGUCUCAUUUAGUCCUUUCAAAAGCUGCCUUAGUAAGUUACAGUAAUUUGCAGGUGGGAAAUGUGAAGGCCCAAGAAGUGGAUGCUUCGUUCCUUGGUCUUAUGGUUCCUAAAUGUGGAAUCAAGAUACAAUCCAGAUCAGUUUGUGCUCUGUGACCACUGCCAUCAGCUGCUGGGAGUCAUUGCAGCUGACUUGGGGGGUGGUGUUCAGUUGACUCCUGAACCACCUGCUUUAUCUCAUUUCCUCUGUGAAUGUGUGAACGCAUGUUUCCAUCAAUUCCGUCAAUGAUUCCUCCUCCUCCAUUCUCUUCUGGAGGGGUUAUAAGAGAAAGUGUAGGGGUAGGGAAAGUUCUGCCCGGGACCAGUCUGUUUUUUGUUUUUUGUUUUUUUUUUCCUUUUUCCUCUUUCUCUGACUCUCCCCAUUUUCCAAACGUGGUCCCUGACUACAGCAGGCCCUCUCCACAGUUAAUCAAGUUUUUAUUACUGGGGAUCAGCCCAACCCUAACUAAUGGCCAGUAAUAUCACUCCCUAGUUUUUUCUGUACACAGAUGUGGGAUGGCUGAGAAUCCUUGAUUUGACUAGGCCAGACUGGUGUUAAUGAGAAGAUGGAGACCUAAUCUGUGCCUUGGGGAGCUAAUGGCUUGUCUGGGAUGCAGGCCUCUGAGCCUUCACUGUACCAUAAGACGGACUGACCUCAUUGUUAAAGUGACUCACACAAUUUGAAUUAAGGGAAAGGAGUAAGUAAUUCUGGUGAGGGAGAAUCCAAAGCAUUUUCACAAAAGAUAAGCCCCACUGGAUCUCAAGCUUUAGAAUUUUGAUAGGUCAGCUUAGGAAAGAAUAUUCUAGAUAAAGGUGAUAUGGAGAUUGCCUUACAUAUGGUAACAAAUUCAUAUAUAUUUUUUUGUUGCCUAACAUAUUAUCCUAAAACUUAGCAGCUUAAAAAAAAAAACCAAACAUUUGUUACCUUACACAGUUUCUGAAGGCCAGGAAUCUGAGACUGGCUAGCUACAUAGUUCUGGCUCAGGGUCUCUCAUGGGUUUGCAGUAAAGCCGUUGGCUGGAGCGUUAGUCAUCUCAAAGCUUGACUUGGGUAGUCUUUGGCAGGAGGUAUCAGUUUCUUACUCCAUGGGCCUUUCCAUAAGGCUGCCAAUGACCUAAUUUUCAUCGAUCCUACAGAGAGAGAACCCAAGAGCUGUAUUUUAUUGGUCGUACAGAUUGUCCCGGGUACAGGUGUGUGACUUCCAGCAAUCAGUGAAGCCGUCUUGGAGGCCAUCUUGUGGGUCACCAUAGAGAUGACCUGGUGUGUAAUGUGUGUGUGGAAAAGGUGCAGAGCCUCUGUACCUGGAACUUAGGCAAUGAGGAGUGAUAUCUGGGAGGUGAAGUUGAUGUUGAUGUGGUGUGAAUUCCAUGAGAUUGAAUGUGAUGUGGAAUUAACCUUCAAACAGCUUAGUCUAGUAGGAGUUAUAUUUUGUAUGUAUGAUCCCAGGUGGAAGGCAAAAUGCGUACAGAGGUAUGAGUUAUAAAUAUGAGAGUUCAGAGGUUAUUGCUAGUGGGAAGCAGAGUCAGAUUUGUUGGAGAGGUGGGGUUUGUGUUUGAAGGAAAUGGUCCAGGUGUUGCUCACAUUGAGGUGAGGUGGUGUGGUUCAUCGGCACCUUAUAAUGCUGUGGACUGCUGUUAAUCUCUUUAUUGGUUUAUUCUUCCUGCCAGGAUGAGAGAACCUGUAAUGAAUACUGGAUUUUAAGGUUAAAUUUGAGGAAAUUUCACUAGUUGGUUUGAUAGUGUUGACCCCUCCAACUUUUUUCUAUUUUUGAGGAAGAAUGGCGGAUGAUAGAAAUGGUUUAAUUUCUUUUUUUUUUUUUUAAAGAUUUUAUUUAUUUUAUUUGACAGAGAGAAUGAGAGAGAGAGCACAUGAGAGGGGGGAGGGUCAGAGGGAGAAGCAGACUCCCUGCUGAGCAGGGAGCCCCAUGCGGGACUCGAUCCAGGGACUCCAGGAUCAUGACCUGAGCCGAAGGCAGUUGCUUAACCAACUGAGCCACCCAGGCGCCCCAGAAAUGUUUAAUUUCUUUGAGUACGGAGCACUAACCAUUUUAUUUAUGUCGUAUAAAAUUUGUUACCAUAUGUAACCAGUGCAUAUAAAAAUAGAGUACCUGUGGGGAAGUGUGUGUGUGUGUGUGUGUGUGUGUUAUCUAACUGAGCAUCAAUGUUCUGUGUCCUGCACUGAGGUGGUUUUCUGUAACUAUAGGGGGAACCUUCACCAUCGUUACCCACAAUAGAUUACUUUUCAGAAUUCGUUAAUCCCUUCAAGGCCAUUAAAGGCUUAGUGACUAAUGAGUAAACCCACUGAAUACUACCUUAUUUUCUGAAAAAAAGAGUUAAUGUUCCCGGAAAAGGUGAGCUGUUUUCUCUGGUUAACAAGGUGGAGCCGGGUGUUCCCAAUGGUUCAGGCUAUAAUAAGCGCUUGGUGAAUAAGAAACGAUGUUAUUCUGGAGACAGCUGUUAAGUAAUUAGAAUUUACCUCAUUUUAAUUAAAAUAUUCUAACUCUAACCUGUCUUCGCAACCGUUGAGCAAGGCACAGGUACUUCUUGUCAGUCAGGUUCCAUUACCAACUCUGAGGGUGACCUCAGGGGAACCUAGGAUUUGGGUUUAGAGAGGGCUCACGUUCUCUCCACUAAACAAAGAACAUUUACCCAGGCCUUUGAAUCAGUGUCCGUGUGUCACAGCUGGACCAGUGCUGACAAAAUCUCCAGGGCCUUUGCGUAAAACAAAGGCAUGUUUUGUUGUGCGGAGAACAUAAAUAGGCUUCUUUUCUUUUCUUUUUCCAUUCAGAUAUGAAAUUGGAAUUGCUUAAUGGUAACACACAGCCUUCUCAUCGAGCUGCUUGUGUACUUCUCCCGUGACGGAAUAGUGAGAAAGUG
Molecule: long non-coding RNA, 15361 nt
Organism: Mirounga angustirostris (Northern elephant seal)
Lineage: Eukaryota; Metazoa; Chordata; Mammalia; Carnivora; Phocidae
Exons: 3
Source: RefSeq, a predicted model, not a curated record